CUGUUAAAUAAGAAGUGUGAACAUCAUCAAUGUUUUUUCAGUGAUAUUUUAUUGCAUUUUAGGAAAAGAUGUUUUGUUGGAAUUGAUUACAAAUUAGACAGCACAAAACACCAUCCAGGUGAUCGUCCGUUUAUAUAUUUAAAAAGGUAAGGCAUAUAUGGCAGGUAUGGAUAUUAAAUAGAGCUGUUAGAAAAGAAUGAGUGUGUUCAUGAAGUAUUUCAGAGUAUAAAUUU
Molecule: long non-coding RNA, 233 nt
Organism: Sander lucioperca (pikeperch)
Lineage: Eukaryota; Metazoa; Chordata; Actinopteri; Perciformes; Percidae
Exons: 2
Source: RefSeq, a predicted model, not a curated record